GUAGUCCACGCCGUAAACUAUGGAUGCUAGCUGUUAUGGGUAUCGACCCCCGUAGUAGCGAAGCUAACGCGUUAAGCAUCCCGCCUGUGGAGUACGAGCGCAAGCUUAAAACAUAAAGGAAUUGACGGGGACCCGCACAAGCGGUGGAGCGUGUUGUUUAAUUCGAUGGUAAGCGAAGAACCUUACCCAGGUUUGACAUCCCGAGAAUCCUCCUGAAAGGGAGGAGUGCAAUUUGAACUCGGUGACAGGUGUUGCAUGGCCGUCGUCAGCUCGUGUCGUGAGAUGUUUGGUUAAGUCCAUCAACGAGCGCAACCCUUGUGAUUAGUUGAAUUUUUCUAAUCAGACUGCCCUGGCAACAGGGA
Molecule: ribosomal RNA, 362 nt
Filed under: uncultured bacterium
Lineage: Bacteria
Description: bacterial SSU rRNA
Rfam family: Bacterial small subunit ribosomal RNA
Source: RNAcentral